RNAcentral lists this ribosomal RNA (735 nucleotides) under uncultured bacterium. Its description in RNAcentral is "bacterial SSU rRNA". It matches the Rfam family "Bacterial small subunit ribosomal RNA", at positions 8 to 753 of the family's 1533-position model. The record is from RNAcentral.
AGAGUUUGAUCCUGGUUAGGANGAANGCUGGCGGCGUGCUUAACACAUGCAAGUCGAACGGUGAUCUCGGUGCUUGCACCGGGUGAUCAGUGGCGAACGGGUGAGUAACACGUGAGCAACCUGCCCCUGACCCUGGGAUAACCCCGAGAAAUCGGAGCUAAUACCGGAUACGAGACGCACAGGCAUCUGUAGCGUCUGGAAAGAUUCAUCGGUCAGGGAUGGGCUCGCGGCCUAUCAGCUAGUUGGUGAGGUAGUGGCUCACCAAGGCGACGACGGGUAGCCGGCCUGAGAGGGCGACCGGCCACACUGGGACUGAGACACGGCCCAGACUCCUACGGGAGGCAGCAGUGGGGAAUAUUGCACAAUGGGCGCAAGCCUGAUGCAGCGACGCCGCGUGGGGGAUGAAGGCCUUCGGGUUGUAAACCCCUUUCAGCAGGGAAGAAGCGAAAGUGACGGUACCUGCAGAAGAAGCGCCGGCUAACUACGUGCCAGCAGCCGCGGUAAUACGUAGGGCGCAAGCGUUGUCCGGAUUUAUUGGGCGUAAAGAGCUCGUAGGCGGUUUGUCGCGUCUGCUGUGAAAACCCGAGGCUCAACCUCGGGCCUGCAGUGGGUACGGGCAGACUAGAGUGCGGUAGGGGAGACUGGAAUUCCUGGUGUAGCCGGUGGAAUGCGCAGAUAUCANGAGGAACACCNAUGGNNAAGGCAGGUCUCUGGGCCNNAACUGACGCUGAGGAG